GAUGAAGAACGCAGCGAAAUGCGAUAAGUAAUGUGAAUUGCAGAAUUCAGUGAAUCAUCGAAUCUUUGAACGCACAUUGCGCCCCCUGGCAUUCCGGGGGGCAUGCCUGUUCGAGCGUCAUUUCACCACUCAAGCCUCGCUUGGUAUUGGGCAACGCGGUCCGCCGCGUGCCUCAAAUCGACCGGCUGGGUCUUCUGUCCCCUAAGCGUUGUGGAAACUAUUCGCUAAAGGGUGUUCGGGAGGCUACGCCGUAAAACAACCCCAUUUCUAAGGUUGACCUCGGAUCAGGUAGGGAUACCCGCUGAACUUAAGCAUAUCAAAAGCGGAGGA
RNAcentral lists this unclassified non-coding RNA (330 nucleotides) under soil metagenome. Its description in RNAcentral is "partial contains 5.8S ribosomal RNA, internal transcribed spacer 2, and large subunit ribosomal RNA". The stretch from base 1 to 120 matches the Rfam family "5.8S ribosomal RNA", at positions 35 to 154 of the family's 154-position model. The record is from RNAcentral.